RNAcentral lists this ribosomal RNA (495 nucleotides) under uncultured bacterium. RNAcentral describes it as "partial 16S ribosomal RNA". It matches the Rfam family "Bacterial small subunit ribosomal RNA", at positions 28 to 523 of the family's 1533-position model. The record is from RNAcentral.
GAUGAACGCUGGCGGCGUGCUUAACACAUGCAAGUCGAACGAAGCGCUUAAGAUUGAUUCUUCGGAUGAUUUCUUUUGCGACUUAGUGGCGGACGGGUGAGUAACGCGUGGGUAACCUGCCUCACACAGGGGGAUAACAGUUAGAAAUGACUGCUAAUACCGCAUAACCCGAUAGGAUCGCAUGAUCCAGACGGAAAAGAUUUAUCGGUGUGAGAUGGACCCGCGUCUGAUUAGCUAGUUGGUGAGGUAACGGCCCACCAAGGCGACGAGCAGUAGCCGGCCUGAGAGGGUGAACGGCCACAUUGGGACUGAGACACGGCCCAAACUCCUACGGGAGGCAGCAGUGGGGAAUAUUGCACAAUGGGGGAAACCUUGAUGCAGCGACGCCGCGUGAGUGAAGAAGUAUUUCGGUAUGUAAAGCUCUAUCAGCAGGGAAGAAAAUGACGGUACCUGACUAAGAAGCCCCGGCUAACUACGUGCCAGCCGCCGCCGUAA